GCCUAACCCCUACCCCCCUCUCCCGGGCCAGAGUCCUCCUCGCUUUAUGGACCCCUGAUAGGAUCGACAGCCGGUCAGAAAUCGGUGACAGGAGAAGGGAGAAUGGAGUAGGGCAUUCCUUUCCCUCCUUCAAAACCAAUCUCUUUCAAGAGGUCUAACUCCUUCAUCAUAUGGAAUUGAAGCAGCUAUGAAACGGAUGUCAAAAUGAUCUAAAGAUGAUGGAAAACGUUUCAACAGUUAAGUAACUUAGACAACUAGUGGGACGAAUCCAAUGGGAAGGAAGAUCCCAGGCUAAUCGCUUCUUAAUUCCAUUCCCUUCUCGGCCCUUAUCCACCAACUUAUCUAGUUUAUAAUGCAUUAUUCUGUACCCAUUCAUGAGUGGCAUUCACAGCUUUGUAACUGUCUUUUAUUUUCAUGAUUUAUUUUUAAGGUUAAAUAGUAAAUUUCUUGAGGACAACUGUGUCUUUUA
Long non-coding RNA from Canis lupus familiaris (dog), 469 nucleotides. RefSeq lists it as uncharacterized. The transcript has 2 exons. The record is from RefSeq and is a predicted model, not a curated record. NCBI's taxonomy places the organism in Eukaryota, Metazoa, Chordata, Mammalia, Carnivora, Canidae.